UACGCAGGGGGCUAGCGUUGCUCGGCGUGACGGGGCGUAAAGGGCGCGUCGGCGGACUGCACAGUCAGGCGUGAAAUUCCUGGGCUUAAGCUGGGGACUGCGUCUGAGACGUGUGAUCUAGAGUGAGGAAGAGGGGCGUGGAAUUUCCAGUGUAGAGGUGAAAUUCGUAGAUAUUGGAAAGAACACCGGUGGCGAAGGCGGCGACCUGGUCCUUGACUGACGCUGAGGCGCGAAAGCGUGGGGAGCAAACAGG
Molecule: ribosomal RNA, 253 nt
Filed under: uncultured bacterium
Lineage: Bacteria
Description: partial 16S ribosomal RNA
Rfam family: Bacterial small subunit ribosomal RNA
Source: RNAcentral